GGGAGUAUAGCUCGAAGGUCGAGCACUUGACUGUUAAUCAAUAGGUGAAAGUUCGAUUCUUUCUAUUCCCG
Molecule: transfer RNA, 71 nt
Filed under: Spirochaetia bacterium
Lineage: Bacteria; Pseudomonadati; Spirochaetota; Spirochaetia
Also listed under: 1 other name
Description: tRNA-Asn
Rfam family: tRNA
About the family: Transfer RNA (tRNA) molecules are approximately 80 nucleotides in length. Their secondary structure includes four short double-helical elements and three loops (D, anti-codon, and T loops).
Source: RNAcentral